GAUCAUGGCUCAGGAUGAACGCUGGCGGCGCGCCUAACACAUGCAAGUCGAACGGUUAAAGCACCUCCGGGUGUGUAUAAAGUGGCGAACGGCUGAGUAACACGUGGGCAACCUGCCCCUCGCACCGGGACAGCCUCGGGAAACCGUGGUUAAUACCGGAUACGCCCCCCUCCGUCGCAUGGCGGUGGGGGAAAGCCCCGACGGCGAGGGAUGGGCCCGCGGCCUGUUAGCUAGUUGUUGGGGUAACGGCCCACCAAGGCCAUUAUGGGUAGCUGGUUGAGAGACCGACCAGCCAGAUUGGGACUGAGACACGGCCCAGACUCCUACGGGAGGCAGCAGUGGGGAAUCUUGCACAAUGGGCGAAAGCCUGAUGCAGCCGACGCCGCGUGCGGGAUGAAGGCCUUCGGGUUGUAAACCGCUUUCAGCAGGGACGAGGCCGCAAGGUGACGGUACCUGCAGAAGAAGCCCCGGCUAACUACGUGCCAGCAGCCGC
RNAcentral lists this ribosomal RNA (493 nucleotides) under uncultured bacterium. Its description in RNAcentral is "bacterial SSU rRNA". It matches the Rfam family "Bacterial small subunit ribosomal RNA", at positions 15 to 518 of the family's 1533-position model. The record is from RNAcentral.